Molecule: long non-coding RNA, 1075 nt
Organism: Aegilops tauschii subsp. strangulata
Lineage: Eukaryota; Viridiplantae; Streptophyta; Magnoliopsida; Poales; Poaceae
Source: RefSeq, a predicted model, not a curated record
AAAAGAAGAGCUGCAUGAUAUUUGUUUCUCCUGGAGUUUCUUCUUAUCAAAUAAUUCAAAUCUAAUUUACACUUCAUAAAAUAUUACAUGUCAGACUCUGAAACUUGUUGAAAACAAUGUUUGUUUGGUUGUAGAAAAACAAAGCAGUUUUCUGAACCCUGCUACUAUCACUAUGGUUGCUAUUUUCAUUUUUGUUGCAGAACAGUUCUCUCAUGGUGUUUCUAUUAGCUGCAAGGAACGUUGGGCUAGCUUUUGUCUUGAGUCUCUUAGGUGUUAUUGAGAGGUUGUACUUGCCAGUGAGCUAAAUGGCCCGUUGGAACAAUGUGACUGCUUGUUUGACCUUUUAAAAUGGUUUGGUGGUGCAGAUAAGUUUGGUCACAGCCCAUUGGAUUUAGAUUUUAGGAGCCGUGUGAAACAAUUUCUUAGGUAUGUUUUCUUUUUCUUAGGCAGGGCAUAUAGGUAGCAUGGGAAACAAUUUCUCGAGUAGGUUUAUUUGUUUGUUAUUAUAUUUGGGUACUUAUUUUCUAAUGUUUUUUAGGUUCUCUGUAUAACAUGGUAAAGUUGCUGGUAUGAUUUUGGAAGCAACACUGAUUUUUUUCCUGUCGACUUUGUGGACAGGCUAACAGUGAAAAUUUUAUUUGUAAAAUAUGGCGAUCCCUAUAGUGGUAUUUCUGAAGCUUCGCUAUGCUUGCUUUCCCACCAACAAGCAGUAAUCCAAUCACUGGUGCACCAGCGGCCAUCCACCAGGACGAUGCUGACAGCCAAAGAAAGCUCCUUCCCCACCGCUGACAGCCAAAACCGCUCUUGUGCUCAUCAAGGUUAGUCAAUGUAUAGGACUGCGCUUUUGUGUGUCCUUUCCUUCAAGCUGUCAUUCAGGAGAAGAGAGGAGCGAGGCCUCGAUCCAGACUCAGGAGGAGGAGGAGACGAGGAGCAACACCUAUUUUUAUUGUCCGUCAAGCCCCAUUAUACUUUGCGGUUCCAGCCACCUGAUCACUAACCUGAAUGAGUAAGUAGACCAUUAUAUAUGAUGGUCUUGCUUCCUUUUGUGAUCAUGUAUCUAUGUUAGAUCCGGUGA